This is a long non-coding RNA of Telopea speciosissima, 190 nucleotides long. RefSeq lists it as uncharacterized. The record is from RefSeq and is a predicted model, not a curated record. Lineage: Eukaryota; Viridiplantae; Streptophyta; Magnoliopsida; Proteales; Proteaceae. The transcript is spliced from 2 exons.
GAGGGGAGAGAGACAGACAGACAGACAGAGAGGGUGAGAGAGAGAGAGAGAGAGAGAGAACCUCAUCAGGGGUUUGUUCGCCACGGAGUCGCCGACCAUCAAACAAGAAGGCAAUAGAAUUUUGGUCUACAGACUGACGGUCACAGUAAGCAGUCAUGAGCUUCCUUAAUUGAGUGCUGCGUUUAAUCCU